CAUAAUCAUUAGUUUUUUAAUUGAAAACUUGUAUGAAUGGUUGGACAAAGAAGGUACUGUCUCUUUUAUUAUGAUUGAAUUUAACUUUUAAGUGAAAAGGCUUAAAUGUACUAGAGGGACGAUAAGACCCUAUAAAGCUUUAUAAGCUAAAGAAUUUUGUAUAUUUUUAUAUAAAAAUAAUUUUCUAAAGGUCUAUUUGGUUGGGGCGACAAUAAUAUAAAUAAAAUAACUGUUAUUAAAUCUAACAAAUAUAUUUGUGUAUGAGUUAAUUGAUCCCUUAUAAGGAUUUAAGAUCAAGUUACUUUAGGGAUAACAGCGUUAUUUCUUCUGAGAGUUCUUAUCAAAGGAGAAGUUUGCGACCUCGAUGUUGAAUUAAAAUGUCUUUAUAGUGCAGCAGCUAUAAAAGAAGGUCUGUUCGACCUUUAAUAUUUUACGUGAUCUGAGUUCAG
Molecule: ribosomal RNA, 449 nt
Filed under: Charybdis pusilla
Lineage: Eukaryota; Metazoa; Arthropoda; Malacostraca; Decapoda; Portunidae
Description: partial large subunit ribosomal RNA
Rfam family: Archaeal large subunit ribosomal RNA
Source: RNAcentral